This is a long non-coding RNA of Equus caballus (horse), 6848 nucleotides long. The record is from Ensembl. NCBI's taxonomy places the organism in Eukaryota, Metazoa, Chordata, Mammalia, Perissodactyla, Equidae.
GGCAGUCUUUCAGAAAGAGAGUGCCCAGACUUGCCAUUGUUUGUGAAAUAGUCUCCAAGCAAGAAGGGCCUGCAAUGGCCCAGCUGGGCUGGCCCUCCUUGUUCAGUCUCUGCCCUGCUGCCUGACACUACUGAUAGUGAAAGCUGGCUGAGCCCUGCUCUGCUGAUAGCGAUGUGAGGCACCAUUUAGCAGAAGUUUCCUGAUGCAGAGCUUUUAGAGAAUUCACGGACUUGCUCUGUCAUCUUCAUCAAAAGAUGUUUCCUUUUGCUGAGUCAGAAGAAGUAAAUUGGAUCUGGACCAGAAACUAAUGAAUGGGAAAGCAAGACUUCAGUUUUCUCAAUGGACAUACUAAUUCAGCAGAACCAGAAGAUUUCCAUGGAGCAAGAAAUCUAACAUGAUCUUUCUAAACUUUAUCAAUCAUUCACGGUCCUCACCAAGGGUCAUAUAGUGUGGAGAACAGGAGGAAGACAAGGGAGAUAGGAAAGAGACAAAGGGUGAAAAAAUUAAAUGAGAAAAAGAAAGUCAGUUAGUGGCUUCCUGUGAUUUUCUCAUUAUCACCCUUUCUUUCCAACUAUUUUUUAAAUUUUCUCUUUAGCCUCAUCAGAUAAUCCAGAUAUCAUCAAGUUUCACUGGAAAUCCUUGGUCACCCAUAUGCAGGGGACAAAAGAGGAAGAGACAAGUAUAUAUAAGUAAACCCUAUUUUUCAGCUUUCGGACUAUAGAUGCCUCAAUGGUUAAUAUUGAAACUGUGGAUUUUAAAUGCUCAUUUCAUUUGGUUGUCAGUCAUCUACAGAACAUCUGCCAUGAGCUAAGAAUUCUGCUGUACACUCUAAGAGACAUGAGUAUGAAGGAGACAUAGUCUUGCCUCUAAAAAUUUACAAGUUAAUAAGAGAGAGGGAAUAUAUUCCUCCUGGUUGCAAAAUUCUAAGACAUUUCACACUAACAAUCAUAACACAGAGAAGAAUCAGAUAGGGGCCCUAAGAGAAAUUCAACCUGAGUGUUAUGGGAGUCCAAGAAGGAGUAUGUCAUUUCUCAGUGGCAGGAGCCAAGAAAUCUUCAUCAAAGUGGUGGGAUCUUGAGCUGGGGCUUGGAGGGUAGAAAAGACUUAAACUGUAAGAGGAUACUGAAGAGUAAGCCUCCUGAGAAAAAGGAAACGGCUCAAAGGCACAAGAAUAAAGAUCUGCUUGGGAAAGAGCAAGUGGACCAGCUUGGCUAUAGCAUGGGAUAGAUAAAUGACAAGAAAUGCACAGCUGGAAAAUUUUGUUGGAAGCCAAAUUGCAGAGCAUCUAAAAUGAUGAACCAGAAAGCUUGGUCUCAAUUCUCUAGGUAAUGUACAGACACUGAAAAUUUUUUGAGGGCUGGCCUUUAGGUAGAUCAACCGGCCACAAUGAAUUGGAGUGAAAGACACUAGAGGAAGGGAUCAGCAUCUCAGGAUGAGCUAAAUGAGUGUAAAAGCACCCGCAGUGAGAAUGGAAAGGAGGCAGAUUCACUAGGCAUUGAGGAUGCAGAAAGGGCAGGAAUAAUUUGGGGUGAAGGUUGAAGGAGCAUUUCCUAGGGUACUUGUGAUGAAAACAAAAUUCCACUCUGUCAAAUGGAUGCCUGGAAGCAUGAGAUUUUGAACUUACUACUGAGAUGGUUUUACCACUGCCUGAUAUUGGUUGGUUGGUUGAAUAAUUUUGCUUGUUGUAGGUUAAGGAUAUAUGUGGGUUUUUUUUUUUAUUGUAUUGUCCCUUCUGUGUCUUUUAUGGUCUAGAAAGACCAGAAUAAACAAACAGACAUUAGAUAUCACAAACCCAGACCAAAGAUCAGAGGAGGUCUCAUCAUCUCCUUCUUGGUGUGUAAAUACAGCAAGAAAUACAUAGUGGUGGACGCAUGGCUAUUAAUAUAAAGGAGACAAUCUAUUACAAACUGUCCAAAUCAAUAAUUAUACUUUACCAUGUCCCUCCUAUGUGUCAAAUUAUAUUCCUGUCCCCAUCCAUUUUUAUAUCAGAGAUUCUUUUUAAAAAUUGACUUCAUUGAAUUGGUAAAGAACUUGCUUAUGGAAGGUCUUCUAUUAAUAAGGGUGCAAUCUUCACAGUCUCUACCACUUAUUCACUGAGCAGCCUCAAUCACCUAGUCAGAUGCUAUACAACUUGGGGGCAGAUAAUAAUCGCCCUUUCACCUUAUUUAGCUACUAAUGCAAACACAUUGUGACCAUCUUCUUCAGACAGUCUUCCCAGAUAAACUAGAAGAGACCUGACUCCAUGUCAUUCUCAGAGAGCUCUCUAUCUGAUUUUGAUUUUAUUUUUUCCUGCACUCAUUCUUCUGGCUACCCACCCCCUACCUCAGCAAACAUUUAGUGAGCACUUGGUAUAUGCCCAGCACUGGGCGCAGGGAUGCAGAUUCAAAGAUAAAAGGCAACAAUCCUUCACUUUGUGUAAAUAUUAAUGUAAGGAACUCAUUUGCCCUCUGGAACACCUCACCUUGAAGACAGGAACCAUCUCUACCUAAACUUGGUGUCAUCUAAACAUUAGCUCUCCAUAGUGGUUAAGCACGUGGACUGCGGAGCCCUAGAGUAGGAGGGUGGCCAGUGCCAGCUGGGCACGUACCAGCCGUGAACCUGGUGAGUUAUUUAAACUUCUGAGUCUCAGUUUCCUCCUCUGUAAAAUGGGCGUGAUAAUACUAGUAUCUACCUCAUAGGGUGGGCUCUGGUAAGAAUUAAAUGAGACAAUUAAUGCAAGGAGUUUAGGAGAGCACCUGCUGUACACUAGAAAACAUGAUAAAAACGAUCAUUAAUUGUAUUUUUUUUUAGGGAGGGGCUGUUCUAAAGGGAUGUCCAUUGGGGGAAAUAACAGUUCAGGGUGGCAGCGGCUUCUCAGUGUCUGGGCAGUUACAGAGCGAGGAGAGAAAUCUUCGUUCAGUAGCGAAGUGGUUUUAUUUCCUGUCCAAAAUGCGAGCAUCCCUCUCUUCCUGUUUGGUGUAAUUGACCAUGUGAGCCAGGGCUUGAGAGCUCGCCCUACAGGCCUUCCCGUCUCCAACUUAAGGUUUCUUUUACCAAUUUCCACACAGUCCCUAGUCUUCCUUGGCCCCUAAAUCUUGGAUCAUCUCUUUUUUUUUUGAGGAAGGUUAGCCCUGAGCUAACAUCUGCUGCCAAUCCUCCUCUUUUUGCUGAGGAAGACUGGCCCUGAGCUAACAUCCAUGCCCAUCUUCCUCUAUUUUAUAUGUGGGACACCUACCACGGCAUGGCUUGCCAAGCAGAUGCCAUGUCCGGACCCGGGAUCCGAGCCAGCGAAGCCCAGGCAGCUAAAGUGGAACUUGGGCACUUAACCGCUGCACCACCGGGCCGGCCCCCAUUAAUUGUAUUAAUGUCUGACCCAUGAUCAGUCUGCAAAUGGCCACCAGUAGCUGUAAUGGUGACUGUCCUUUAAGCAAGGAAGAAUAUACUUAAAAGAGUUGCUAGCACUUCAGAGAAAGGUCUAGGAGGCAAUGUCCAUUUCAGUUUGCAUGUCACAAGAACAAUUCUUCUUUAGCCUGUAUGUCAUGUUUUCUGUUUUCUUUCUCUCAUUUUCUUAUACCAGAAAAUUUUAUCUGUUCCCGAUGUUCGUUCCCUAUUUAAACACACAGCAUUCAGUUGGUGAAGCCAGAAGUUCUCUGCCAAUGCUGUCACCACCCAGGUCUGUGGUGCUGAAGGCCCAAUCUGAAGCAAGAAGUGACACAAAACCACUGCUGCUCCAUCCAGAGAGAGUUGCUGGUAUGCAAGGCGGGUUGCAGGAUUGAGCCCCCAGUGAGGAAUAAGUAACAGAAACCAUAGAAGGCAAAUAAAAUAGAAAUGUGUUUCUCAUGCAAACACUCAGAGCAGUUAAAACUAAAAUAAAGGAAAGAAUGAAAUAAAAUAGAAAAUUGUGGAGGGGAUUUGGUGAAACACUUUAAAAUCAAAGACCAUGCUUUCCUUUCCUUAUUCUGUGAGAUGCUAGAUCACUGCUUAGAUGAAUUUACAGCUGUUUCCAACAUUUAUGUGAAACACAACAAAGAGCUGGACUCUGGUUGCUGAGCAGGCUAUACCCCAGGAGGUCGGAAUGCAUCACUAAUUAAAGGGAGGCUGCAGAUAUUGGUAAUCUGGGAGCUGCAGGCACCCCAUACAUGUACCUCUCCGAGCCAGAGCAGGUUGCAUCUAAUAAGGUUUUCAAGGUGACUCUGUAUUUCUUCAAUGCUCCUCACCCUCAACUUCCUCACAGGCAUUUCUAGCCAGUUACUCCACAUUCCAGGGAAGGCAUGAUCUCCUUCAAACACCAUGCCUAUUUCUCGAACAUUAUCCGCAGAAACAAAUUUAGCUUUGUACAUUACAUCAUCACCUCACUGCAGAUUACAGACCCAGAAACUAUCUCCCACAUGGACUAAGGUGAUCCGGGGAGCCUGGGGCACCAUUCUGUCCAAAUUGGAAGGGGGCAGAGCUUCUUGCUGAGCAGAUGGUCUUGAGCCCAGCAGAUCUAGGAAUUCCAUUUUAUUUUUGCCUUUAAACAUGCAGAUAGGAAUAUCAGACCCAGAAGCUUUCCGUGCUGCACAAUUUAUGCUAGCUCAUUACCUCCUGCUACACUCCAAGGCUCUGUAACGGAAAUUGGCUCUGAUUUCUGAGAUGGGCAUUACAUCAUAGUCUUCUUUUAGCACAUUAUGUCAUCCCUGCUGAGACCCAUUAUCUAGGGUUGGCUCAGCAGUAGCGAUUUUUGUGGGCCGACUGCAGCGUUCCCAAAGAACUGCUGGGAACCACAGAUUGCAAUCUAAAACAUUUAUCUUCUAAAAAACUGAAAAUGGAGAAAGAUGUUCACAUCGGACCCCAUUUAUUUUCCUUAACCCUCUGCUGUCUGAGAGCCUUUUAGAGUACAUUGCGGCAAAUGCCAAUGAGCAUGUGCGGAGCCUGUGCAGAGACGAUCAUCUCGAGAUAACCACUGCUAAGGGUGCCUGGAAUAUCGCUCCUCAUCGAGGGCUGAUAUACUCUACACUUGCCAUGAUUCUGUCUCAAGGGAUGUUACGAAAUGCUUAAAAGGAGUCACCUUGCAUGCUCACAGUGACAACGAGCACCCUGCCUAAUUCUUGGCUUAUUUAAGAAAAAAAUUUCUUCUCAUGAUCUGUUUAUACAGAUAUAAAUAAAAACUAUGUACAUACAUGUAGUUUUUAUUUAUAUAUAUAUGUAUUUAUAUAUACACGCUUAUCCUCCUAACCAUGUUGCAGUCACAAAGGCAAACUUCUAGAAGAUUUGUAUUAGAAAUAAUUUUAUGCAGAGAACUGAGCUGAUAUUAUCUCUUCUCACUUCAAUCAUGAAAUUAGAAGCCCGUUCUGUAUCUCUCCAUCCUAGGCAGGAUUAGAAACCAUUGCACAGAGGGAAUAGACGGGAGCUCUCAGGAUGAAGCAAAGAUAUUCCCAGACCCUUGAGAAUCCCCAUACCUCUCUCAUCACAAAAGCAUAAAUAUGAUAAUAAAAAAAGUCUCUACAUCCCGAAAUGAGAUGAGAUACAUUCAACCAUGGCUAAAUUACAAUCCCCCUUACCCACCGACUAAUGAGACUCAUUGGGAGGGAAGUAAGUGCUGGGGGAGGGGUUAGAAAGGAGGCUAUGAUAUUCCCUUCCCCCAUCCAAUCAUGCUGCAUUUUGUUUUUCCACGGAUUUUUUUUAACCGUGAAUACUUUUAUGCUCUCAGUUUCUUUUUGUGGCUCUCAAAUGGCAGCCGCAUCCAAACAAACAACUUCAUAAUUAAAAUGGAGGUAAGUAAAGCUAUCAUUUGGCCCCAUCCCAGAGCCUUGCUCCUACUUCCACCCUCAGUGAUUUUCCAUCAUGUUCUUUUCUAGCGCUCUCCUCUACACCCAGUGGAUCAUAACGCAAGAUGGCAGCCUUCAUCCUUCACUCAGCCCGGGGCAAGGCCAUAUGGUAUUCCACUAACCAACCAAUACCUGUUCAUUGUGGAUCUCGCGCACUAACCCUGGGAUCUUUGACAGCAGUGCUGUUUCUUCCACAUGCUGUUUCUUCCACAUCAAUGGACCUUCAGCACCUACCACAGUGCCAGAAAUACCUCCUGAUCAACUACUACAAAUUGGGUGUCGUGCUAGGCACUGAGCGGGCACCACAGACCAAGGCACAGACCCCACCUUAGCGGAGAAAUCAACUCAGAGUGGAAAAAACCCACAUGGUUAAACAAUCUCCACUACGAAUUGCUUGCCUGUCAUGAGUAAUACAGUCACCUGGCAUUUCCCACCAAAAUACUAAAAGAUUCCUAUGAUUUAAAAGAAAAUGAAAACAGAGCCAGCCCUGAUGGUCUAGCCAUUAAAGUUGGGCAUUCUCACUGCUUCAGUGUCCUGGGUUCAUUUCCUGGUCCUGGAACCACACCAUCCAUCUGUCAGUUUCCAUGCUGUGGUGGCGACUCACAUAGGAGAACGAGAAGAACUUACAACUAGGAUAUACAACCAUGCACUGGGCCUUUGUGCAGGAAAAAAAAAAGAGAAAGAUUGGCACCAGAUGUUAACUCAGGAUGAAUCUUUCGAAAUAAAGAAAACAAAAAUAAAAGCGUGAGUUAGAACAAAAUCUGCCAAAUUGAUUUAGCUUUCAACAAACCAUUGCACACUUUAGACGUCCAAAAGUUGGCCAACUGUUACUUUUAUCAGAAACUCAGAUCUAAUGGGUAGACUGGCUGGGUCACUAGACCUUUACUGCAAACCCAUCUGACAAUGGAGAGCAGUGAGAGAAGCACUGGAUGCAAGAGCAGGGGACCAGGUUUCUUGUCGUGUCCUCACCAUCUUGAGCAAGUCACAUGCACUCUCUCGGCUUGUCUUUCUUCAUUCGUAAUAUGACCACGUGAGCUUGGUGGUCUCUAAGCUUCCUUCCCU